Molecule: long non-coding RNA, 2141 nt
Organism: Salvelinus sp. IW2-2015
Lineage: Eukaryota; Metazoa; Chordata; Actinopteri; Salmoniformes; Salmonidae
Source: RefSeq, a predicted model, not a curated record
CCAGCAGGGGCCCCCAGUGCCCAGGGAAGGGCCCCCUCGGCCCCACCAGGGACCUGCACCGGUCUGGUUUCACUCUAUCCGGAACUCAGAUUGACGACCACAUCCCCCGACGCUCAGCACAGAGGAUCGUGGCGCCACCCGGUGGCCGCUCCAAUAUCACCACCCUGUCGUGAACCCGGGAGCUCCUUGCUCCUCUCGCGUCUGCUGUAGGGAGAACGAUACAUCAACUACUGUAGCAACAACCAACUACCGUCGAUCAAAACAAAUCUCACCUGGCUUCCAGAACUCAACUCAACAGUGAAACCAUGAACAUGCAAUCUUCUACUCAGAUACAACUGGAAAACAGUAUACAGAGUAGAACUACAAUUACCACUAGUAGUUACCAGUCAUUCUAUGUCUAUGGUAGACACACCAACUUAGUACUUUGAUCUGUUAUCCUUUAUCAAUAUUGUGAUCAAUUCCUCAAUCAAUUUAUCUCAUCACCCAUCAAUAGUCAACUGUCCCCUGUCAGAUCUCCGUAGCAUGCACCUUAAACAGUCUCUGUCUCCUCAGUCAGAUAACCGUCUCUCUCUCUCUCAUCUCCUCGUCUUCACUAUAGCUUUACUAACAUGGUGAUAAAGGAGUCGUAGAUGAAAGUAGUUUUCUUUAGACCACAGGAUGCCUCUCAGCUCUCUCUCUCGUCGUAGUGAUGCCUGCUUCUGCUUUCGCUUCAGUGCUUCUAAGAAACUCUGCAGUUGAGUCCCACAUGGCACUCUAUUCCCUAGAUAGCGCACUACUUUUGUCCUCUAGUGCACUAUCUAGGGAAUAGAGUGCCGUUUCAGACUAACGGGAACUUGUUGUCUCUCUCUCUCUGCUGUUAUUUAGUCAUGGCUGUAGGCUAUUUAGGCUUCAUCUUACCGUCUCUUACUGUUAUGCAUGACUUUUUCCUCUUCAUCGUUACUCAUUACAAAUACAACAAGGGAAAAAAGUGUGUAUUACUGUUACUGUGAACAGACUGUAGGGACAGUCCUCUAGUCACACUUGUCUUACUAUUAUUAUUGAUGUUUUAUCCCAAUGCAGGUGCAAUAACUUUGCUUCCAUGGUAUAUUCAGUCAGUCAGAAUAGGAACUUCACCAAUCCUUCUAUUCAGUCAGUCAGAAUAAGAACUUCACCAAUCCUUCUAGUCAGUCGGUCAGAAUAAGAACUUCACCAAUCCUUCUAGUCAGUCAGUCAGAAUAGGAACUUCACAAAUCCUUCUAGUCAGUCAGUCAGAAUAAGAACUUCACCAAUCCUUCUAGUCAGUCAGUCAGAAUAAGAACUUCACCAAUCCUUCUAUUCAGUCAGUCAGGAUAAGAACUUCACCAAUCCUUCUAUUCAGUCAGUCAGUCAUAAUAAGAACAUCACCAAUCCUUCUAGUCAGUCAGUCAGUCAGUCAGGAUAAGAACUUCACCAAUCAUUCUAGUCAGUCAGUCAGAAUAAGAACUUAUUCAAUCCUUCAUGUCUAUAUAGGAGUUACAGGGAAGCCCAUAUCAUCUGUACACUGGAUCUGUGUUUUUGUCUUUAUAACACAGCCAUGUUCCACUGUCAUCGUGUGACUUUUAUAUUUUUGUAUAUAAAGACGAAACAUCUGGUGCUUUGAAACCCUAGCCUGGUUAAGCCAUACUGAAUGCUCCACUGACUUGGUGAAACAGAGCAUAGCGGUCAGGAUUCCAGGCUAUUGAACACCCACGUUGUAGCCAAGAUACACAGGGAUACGUGGAGCUGUGAACAAUAAACAGUGGUUUUAAAAGUCUUUAGCUUUUUUAAAACCUGACUCUUAUUUGUAAUGAUUUUAUUUAAUUUUCUACCAUUUCCUUUCUCUUUUGUAGACUUCACGUUUGUACUUUUACAUGGUCCGGUUGAGAAAGCGGACAUUUUGUUUUGUCGCCCAAAUAGACCGACAACAUUAACGUUGUUCUUGUUCAACAGUGUUGUAACUCGGUAUACUCAGUCAGUCUUUGGAAAGGUUGUUUACAUUCGUUAAGUGGUCAUAUAAAAAAGGGCAAAUGAAGUGGUCAAUUAAGUCUUUUUCUACUGUUUCUGUGUCCAAUGGAAAUAUGAUUUGUGUCCCGAAAGCUAAUGUACGCAUGUCCUGAAUAAAGUUUGAGGGGGAAUAAGUGUAA